AUUGAACGCUGGCGGCAUGCCUUACACAUGCAAGUCGAACGGCAGCACGGGGGCAACCCUGGUGGCGAGUGGCGAACGGGUGAGUAAUGCAUCGGAACGUCGCCCCGUAGGCGGGGGAUAACCAGUCGAAAGACUGGCUAAUACCGCAUACGCUCCACGGAGGAAAGCGAGGGGAUCGCAAGACCUUGCACUAUGGGAGCGGCCGAUGCCCGAUUAGCUAGUUGGUGAGGUAAAGGCUCACCAAGGCGACGAUCGGUAGCUGGUUUGAGAGAACGACCAGCCACACUGGGACUGAGACACGGCCCAGACUCCUACGGGAGGCAGCAGUGGGGAAUUUUGGACAAUGGGCGCAAGCCUGAUCCAGCCAU
Molecule: ribosomal RNA, 368 nt
Filed under: uncultured bacterium
Lineage: Bacteria
Description: bacterial SSU rRNA
Rfam family: Bacterial small subunit ribosomal RNA
Source: RNAcentral